CACAUGGGUUAGUCGAUCCUA
This 21-nucleotide small RNA is filed under the name Arabidopsis thaliana (thale cress). RNAcentral's name for it is "Ath_wt_19268". Lineage: Eukaryota; Viridiplantae; Streptophyta; Magnoliopsida; Brassicales; Brassicaceae. The record is from RNAcentral.